This 295-nucleotide unclassified non-coding RNA is filed under the name uncultured fungus. RNAcentral describes it as "partial contains 5.8S ribosomal RNA, internal transcribed spacer 2, and large subunit ribosomal RNA". Lineage: Eukaryota; Fungi. The record is from RNAcentral.
AACGCACAUUGCGCCCUCUGGUAGCCCCGGGGGCAUGCCUGUUUGAGCGUCAGGAGGGGAGAACGAGCUCGGGUCGCCCGGCCUGUCCCGGCGACACCGGUCAUAGGGGAUCGUGGCGUCAGCCUCGCCACGCCUCCGAAUUGCAUCUCAUGGCGGAACCAUCCAGCCCGUGCCCGGCGUAGUAAUCCUACCUUCUCGACGGGUCCACGCCUGGCAGUUCCUGCCGAUCAAACCCAGCCACGCCUUCACAAAACCCGACGACUUCAAAUCAGGUAGGGAUACCCGCUGAACUUAA